CGGGACGGGUGAGUAAUGUCUGGGAAACUGCCUGAUGGAGGGGGGUAACUACUGGAAACGGUAGCUAAUACCGCAUAACGUCGCAAGACCAAAGAGGGGGACCUUCGGGCCUCUUGCCAUCGGAUGUGCCCAGAUGGGAUUAGCUAGUAGGUGGGGUAACGGCUCACCUAGGCGAUGAUCCCUAGCUGGUCUGAGAGGAUGACCAGCCACACUGGAACUGAGACACGGUCCAG
RNAcentral lists this ribosomal RNA (233 nucleotides) under uncultured bacterium. RNAcentral describes it as "partial 16S ribosomal RNA". It matches the Rfam family "Bacterial small subunit ribosomal RNA", at positions 100 to 334 of the family's 1533-position model. The record is from RNAcentral.